GUUCUGCAGUCCGAGGAUCCUGUCCAACGAGAGAUCUUUGACAGGCUUGAAACACUGCAGCAACCUUUAAUUUAGAGAAAUUAUUUCCAGUAGGGAAAGCGGCUGGUCAUGUGCAGGACUCAAAUUAGGACCAACAACAACAACACCUCCCCCCCCCCCCAAAGAAAUCAGGAUGCAUCAUACCAUCCAGGCUUGGCUUAGCUCUGAGAUUGAUUUGUGCCUUACCAGCAGCUGUUCAAAUAAGGAGCUGCCCCGAGGAAAGAUCUGUACAAAUGACUGGGCGGGUUUUGGUUUUUGGUUUUUUUUUCAGUUCUUUGCCUCUCACCUAAAACCCUGAAACAACUGGUUGCCCUUGCAACGGAUGAUUAUAAUAAUUACUGGAAAACAAUUGAAGUGUGAUCAGGCAGGGAGGGUGGUAAUUGAAAUAUUGACAGGUGGUUGCUUUGUGCCAAAUAGGAGUUUCUAAUAUCAGCUGUGUUUGAAGGACUCCCAG
Molecule: long non-coding RNA, 493 nt
Organism: Chiroxiphia lanceolata (lance-tailed manakin)
Lineage: Eukaryota; Metazoa; Chordata; Aves; Passeriformes; Pipridae
Exons: 3
Source: RefSeq, a predicted model, not a curated record